CCCUUAGAUGCUCUGGGCCGCACGCGCGCUACACUGGUCGAUGCAACGAGUUUCUUUCCUUGGCCGACAGGCCUGGGCAAUCUUUGAACAUCGAUCGUGAUCGGGAUAGAUUCUUGUAAUUUUUGAUCUUAAACGAGGAAUUCCUAGUAAACGCAAGUCAUCAGCUUGCGUUGAUUACGUCCCUGCCCUUUGUACACACCGCCCGUCGCUCCUACCGAUUGAAUGGUCCGGUGAAGCGUUCGGACCGUGGCCUUUGGACGGUUCGCCGUCUGUUGGCUGCGGGAAGUUCGUUAAACCUUAUCAUUUAGAGGAAGGAGAAGUCGUAACA
Molecule: ribosomal RNA, 328 nt
Filed under: uncultured eukaryote
Lineage: Eukaryota
Description: partial 18S ribosomal RNA
Rfam family: Eukaryotic small subunit ribosomal RNA
Source: RNAcentral